GGGACUGAGACACGGCCCAGACUCCUACGGGAGGCAGCAUCACGGAAUAUUGCGCAAUGGACGGAAGUCUGACGCAGCGACGCCGCGUGGAUGAUGAAGGCCUUCGGGUUGUAAAAUCCUUUUCCGGGCGAUGAGGAAGGACACUAGCCUGGGAAUAAGCGUCGGCUAACUACUCUGCCAUCAGCCGCGGUAAGACGUAGGACGCGAGCGUUGUCCGGAUCUACUGGGGCGUAACGCGCCUGCAGGCGGUCAGGUAAGUCGGUUGUGAAAGCCCCGUGCUCAACGCGGGGAGCCCAAGCGAUACUGCGUGACUCGAGGCGGAAAGAGGCGAGUGGAAUUCCCGGCGUACCGGUAAAACGCGCAGAUAUCGGGAGGAACACCAGUGGCGAAGGCGGCUCCCUGGACCGCACAUGACGCUCAGAGGCGAAAGCUAGGGGAGCGAACAGGAUUAGAGACCAUGGUAGUCCUAGCCCUAAACGCUGGAUGCUAGAUGUAGGCCUGAUGAGGCUCUGUGCCGGAGCGAACGCGAUAAGCAUCCCGCCUGGGAACUACGGCCGCAAGGCUAAAACUCAAACGAAUUGACGGGGACCCGCACAAGCAGCGGAGCGUGUGGUUUAAUUCGAUGCUACACGAAGAACCUUACCUGGGUUUGACAUGCUGGUGGUACCGAACCGAAAGGGGAGGGACCAUUCGGGGAGCCAACACAGGUGCCGCAUGGCUGUCGUCAGCUCGAGCCGUGAGGUGUCGGGUUAAGUCCCGUAACGAGCGCAACCCUUGCUUUUAGUUAUACGUGUUUAAGGGGACUGCCGGCGUCAAGCCGGAGGAAGGUGGGGAUGACGUCAAGUCAGCAUGGCCUUGAUAUCCAGGGCUACUACUACACGCCUACUAUGGCCGGUACAAAGGGCUAGCCAAGCUCGCGAGCUGGAGCGAAUCCCAGCAAAGCCGGUCCACCAGUUCGGACUGCAGCCUGCAACCCGCCUGCAUGAAGUUGGAGUUGCUAG
Molecule: ribosomal RNA, 1001 nt
Filed under: uncultured organism
Description: bacterial SSU rRNA
Rfam family: Bacterial small subunit ribosomal RNA
Source: RNAcentral